AUUGAACGCUGGCGGCAGGCUUAACACAUGCAAGUCGAACGGUAACAUAAAGAAGCUUGCUUCUUUGAUGACGAGUGGCGGACGGGUGAGUAAUGCUUGGGAAUCUAGCUUAUGGAGGGGGAUAACUACGGGAAACUGUAGCUAAUACCGCGUAGAAUCGGGAGAUGAAAGUGUGGGACCUUCGGGCCACAUGCCAUAGGAUGAGCCCAAGUGGGAUUAGGUAGUUGGUGAGGUAAAGGCUCACCAAGCCGACGAUCUCUAGCUGGUCUGAGAGGAUGACCAGCCACACUGGGACUGAGACACGGCCCAGACUCCUACGGGAGGCAGCAGUGGGGAAUAUUGCGCAAUGGGGGCAACCCUGACGCAGCCAUGCCGCGUGAAUGAAGAAGGCCUUCGGGUUGUAAAGUUCUUUCGGUAGCGAGGAAGGCAUUUAGUUUAAUAAACUGGAUGAUUGACGUUAACUACAGAAGAAGCACCGGCUAACUCCGUGCCAGCAGCCGCGGUAAUACGGAGGGUGCGAGCGUUAAUCGGAAUAACUGGGCGUAAAGGGCACGCAGGCGGUGACUUAAGUGAGGUGUGAAAGCCCCCGGCUUAACCUGGGAAUUGUAUUUCAUACUGGGUCGCUGGAGACUUUUGGGAGGGGUAGAAUUCCACGUGUAUCGGUGUA
RNAcentral lists this ribosomal RNA (667 nucleotides) under Parahaemophilus parainfluenzae. RNAcentral describes it as "Haemophilus parainfluenzae bacterial SSU rRNA". It matches the Rfam family "Bacterial small subunit ribosomal RNA", at positions 28 to 685 of the family's 1533-position model. The record is from RNAcentral. Lineage: Bacteria; Pseudomonadati; Pseudomonadota; Gammaproteobacteria; Pasteurellales; Pasteurellaceae.